GACGAACGCUGGCGGCGUGCCUAACACAUGCAAGUCGAACGGAGCACUUCGGUGCUUAGUGGCGAACGGGUGAGUAACGCGUGAGAAACCUGCCUUUCAGUGGGGGACAACAGUUGGAAACGACUGCUAAUACCGCAUAAUGUUAUUUGGGGGCAUCCCCGAAUAACCAAAGCUUUAUGUGCUGAAAGAUGGUCUCGCGUCUGAUUAGCUAGAUGGCGGGGUAACGGCCCACCAUGGCGACGAUCAGUAGCCGGUCUGAGAGGAUGAACGGCCACAUUGGGACUGAGAUACGGCCCAG
Molecule: ribosomal RNA, 298 nt
Filed under: uncultured bacterium
Lineage: Bacteria
Description: partial 16S ribosomal RNA
Rfam family: Bacterial small subunit ribosomal RNA
Source: RNAcentral